Molecule: ribosomal RNA, 477 nt
Filed under: uncultured bacterium
Lineage: Bacteria
Description: partial 16S ribosomal RNA
Rfam family: Bacterial small subunit ribosomal RNA
Source: RNAcentral
AACGAACGCUUGCGGCGCGCCUAAUACAUGCAAGUCGAACGAGAAAGUUUCUUCGGAAGCGAGUACAGUGGCGGACGGGUGAGGAAUACGUAGAUAAUCUGCCUUAAAGUGGGGGAUAACUACUCGAAAGAGUAGCUAAUACCGCAUAAGACCACAGGAACCGAGGUUCUAGGGGUUAAAGGUUUUUCGCUUUAAGAUGAGUCUGCGUCCGAUUAGCUAGUUGGUAAGGUAACGGCUUACCAAGGCGACGAUCGGUACCUGGUCUGAGAGGAUGAUCGGGCACACUGGAACUGAGACACGGUCCAGACUCCUACGGGAGGCAGCAGUAGGGAAUAUUGCACAAUGGAGGAAACUCUGAUGCAGCGACGCCGCGUGAGUGAUGAAGGCCUUCGGGUUGUAAAACUCUGUGAUAAGGGAAGAUAAUGACGGUACCUUAUCAGAAAGGACCGGCUAACUUCGUGCCAGCAGCCGCUGUAA